This 500-nucleotide ribosomal RNA is filed under the name uncultured bacterium. Its description in RNAcentral is "partial 16S ribosomal RNA". It matches the Rfam family "Bacterial small subunit ribosomal RNA", at positions 30 to 523 of the family's 1533-position model. The record is from RNAcentral.
AUUGAACGCUGGCGGCAGGCCUAACACAUGCAAGUCGAGCGGAUGAAGAGAGCUUGCUCCUGGAUUCAGCGGCGGACGGGUGAGUAAUGCCUAGGAAUCUGCCUGGUAGUGGGGGACAACGUUUCGGAAGGAACGCUAAUACCGCAUACGUCCUACGGGAGAAAGCAGGGGACCUUCGGGCCUUGCGCUAUCAGAUGAGCCUAGGUCGGAUUAGCUAGUUGGUGAGGUAAUGGCUCACCAAGGCGACGAUCCGUAACUGGUCUGAGAGGAUGAUCAGUCACACUGGAACUGAGACACGGUCCAGACUCCUACGGGAGGCAGCAGUGGGGAAUAUUGGACAAUGGGCGAAAGCCUGAUCCAGCCAUGCCGCGUGUGUGAAGAAGGUCUUCGGAUUGUAAAGCACUUUAAGUUGGGAGGAAGGGUUGUAGAUUAAUACUCUGCAAUUUUGACGUUACCGACAGAAUAAGCACCGGCUAACUCUGUGCCAGCCGCCGCAGUAA